UACGUAGGGGGCAAGCGUUAUCCGGAUUUACUGGGUGUAAAGGGAGCGUAGGCGGUUCAGCAAGUCAGAAGUGAAAGCCCGGGGCUCAACCCCGGGACUGCAUUUGGAACUGUGCUGCUAGAGUGUCGGAGAGGCAGGCGGAAUUCCUAGUGUAGCGGUGAAAUGCGUAGAUAUCACGCAGAACUCCGAUUGCGAAGGCAGCAUACCGGCGCCCAACUGACGCUGAAGCACGAAAGCGUGGGUAUCGAACAGG
This 253-nucleotide ribosomal RNA is filed under the name uncultured bacterium. RNAcentral describes it as "partial 16S ribosomal RNA". It matches the Rfam family "Bacterial small subunit ribosomal RNA", at positions 524 to 776 of the family's 1533-position model. The record is from RNAcentral.